UACGUAGGGUGCGAGCGUUAAUCGGAAUUACUGGGCGUAAAGGGUGCGCAGGCGGUCUCGUAAGCUGGGUGUGAAAGCCCCGGGCUUAACCUGGGAAUGGCAUUCAGGACUGCGAGGCUUUGAGUGCGGCAGAGGGAGGUGGAAUUCCACGUGUAGCAGUGAAAUGCGUAGAGAUGCGGAGGAACACCGAUGGCGAAGGCAGCCUCCUGGGCCAGCACUGACGCUCAUGCACGAAAGCGUGGGGAGCAAACAGG
Molecule: ribosomal RNA, 254 nt
Filed under: uncultured bacterium
Lineage: Bacteria
Description: partial 16S ribosomal RNA
Rfam family: Bacterial small subunit ribosomal RNA
Source: RNAcentral